Molecule: small RNA, 3121 nt
Filed under: Pan troglodytes (chimpanzee)
Lineage: Eukaryota; Metazoa; Chordata; Mammalia; Primates; Hominidae
Description: processed transcript
Source: RNAcentral
AAAAGGAGAGAACAUUUAAAAAACAACAACAAAAAAAACUGGUUAUACAAUUCACUUUAAUGGACUUUUACAUAUAUAAUCAUCUAAUAAAAACAGGUGUGGGGCAUAAUGAUUUUUCCAGGGGGUAGUCUAGCUAUCUCAUAGGGUUUAAGUUACUGAAAAUUAAGUUGAAAUAAAAUUGGCACAGACAUAGAUAUUCUGUUGUAUGUAACAGAGUAAAUCUUUUGUACUACUGUGGCAGAAACCCAAGUGUUUCUGUGCUCUGGAGUGACAUUGUUUUAAAGACAGGACAUCUGGUGACUACAACUCAGGGGAAGCCACAAAUCAUCUUUGAGAGUUAACCUGACACAAGCAACCAUCUUUAGAUUUUUAUCAAUGCAAGAAAAAAAUUAAUCUUCAUUCUGGUUGGGUCAUCGUUUCUCUUAUCUGCUUGCUUGUUCUUUGUGGAGGCAUUUUGGGAUAGUGGAAAGGUGGUUUCAUUUACUAGCUGAAUAACCUUGAACAAAUUGUGGAACUUCCUUAUUGUCAGUGUCAUCCUCUAUUAAAAGUCAGCGUAACAAUUAUUAUUCCUGAUUGGUUUAAGAAUUAAAUAAAACAGUCUGACCAUCACCUGGUACAUGGUAGAUAGUAAAGUUAAUUCCUUUCCUAAAGCUAUUAUUGUGUCUUCUUUUAAUACCCAUCAAUCAAGAAAGCAACCAGGAAGGGAAUCCAUUUCACUCAGGCCCCUUUGUCCUGGAGGUCCUCAUUUCUAAGUGUUUCAUUCUGGAAAAAUAAGUUGGAAGUUUUUCAUUUGCUUCAGCACCACUCCACUGGCUUGCCACAUCUUCCUUGGUCUCCUUGGACAGUGUGGUAACUCAGUAUUCCAGCUUUCUAUCAUACUUGGGGUUAUGGCCAGAGUGACAGAAUGGGCCCAGACCCUGCAGAGUUGAGUAGACGGGCCUCCAGACUAAAUAAAUCAGGAUUGUUCAACCAUUUACAAUAGCCACCCUGGCCUGGAACUAGCCUUUUGCCAUCAGAGUUCCUGGAAAGCAGCAAUUUUGUGAUGCACUUUGUGGGCUAUCAGGAUUACAUCCAAAGUUAACAAACACUACUAAAAAAAGUUUUGGGAUUCAAUAAAUUAGGAAAAUGCUGCAUAACUGCCUCUCAAAUUCUUAUGUGCAGUUAAGUGCUUUGAGAAAUUGCACAGUGAAGAACCUUGUUGAACUUUUUUCACCCUGGCACCUCCCAAACUCAUUGAACUAUUGAACUAGAGCCCUGUUUUUGGGAAGUCACUAUUAAUGUCCAGUGGCUCUUCUGUAUCCCAUCUACCAUUUUCCUUGAAGUGCCUAACCUCCAAAAGAGGUUGCAUACUUCCCAAACAUGUUAAGACAGGUAAGCCCUGGAAACUUAUGUUCUCAUGUAACAUUUCACUCUUUGCUUUAUGAUUUUAUAAGCUGAGCUUCUGUUUGUGUGCUUGUUCUGACUGAUUUGUUCUUUCACCCUGUGUAGCCUAAUGCAUGGAAAGCUAACAGGAUGGAGCACAAGUCAGGAUCCCUUUCCUCUAGCCGGGAGUCUGCUUUUACCAGUCCAAUCUCUGUUACCAAACCAGUGGUACUGGCUAGUGGUGCAGCUCUGAGUUCUCCCAAAGAGAGUCCCUCCAGCACCACCCCUCCAAUUGAGAUCAGCUCCUCUCGUCUGACCAAGUUGACCCGCCGAACCACCGACAGGAAGAGUGAGUUCCUGAAAACUCUGAAGGAUGACCGGAAUGGAGACUUCUCAGAGAACAGAGACUGUGACAAGCUGGAAGAUUUGGAGGACAACAGCACACCUGAACCAAAGGAAAAUGGGGAGGAAGGCUGUCAUCAAAAUGGUCUUUCCCUCCCUGUAGUGGAAGAAGGGGAGGUUCUCUCACACUCUCUAGAAGCAGAGCACAGGUUAUUGAAAGCUAUGGGUUGGCAGGAAUAUCCUGAAAACGAUGAGAAUUGCCUUCCCCUCACAGAGGAUGAGCUCAAAGAGUUCCACAUGAAGACAGAGCAGCUGAGAAGAAAUGGCUUUGGAAAGAAUGGCUUCUUGCAGAGCCGCAGUUCCAGCCUGUUCUCCCCUUGGAGAAGCACUUGCAAAGCAGAGUUUGAGGACUCAGACACCGAAACCAGUAGCAGUGAAACAUCAGAUGACGAUGCCUGGAAGUAGGCAUAUAAAUGCUCACAGUUAAAUCUGACCCAGUAAACUCUGUGUGUUUAGGGAGUAUACAAAAGAAAUCGUUCUUUUCCUUUUCUUAUGUUGUUGAAUACUUCAUUCACAAGGGAAAUAAUCAUAUCCCAAAGAGAGAGCGAUUGGCUUGUUUUGCUUUUGUUGUUGUUCUUCCCUGUUAUCUGCUUAAUAGAAGUUUGUGUGGUGGGACAGAUUUUUUAAACACACUCACACACACACACACACAUACACACCCAGUAUAUAUGGGGCGAUGCACAGGUAGGAGCUGGCAGUGCAGGGAAGAGGAGACACUGGUCUGCAGCAACAGCUUCUACUACCAGCCCUUGGGGCACUCACCCCUGUGAUCAAGCAAUCAUUGUCAAUGACAAAGUGACUAUUGAAGUUAUAAUUGUAUUAAAUUAAUGCUAAUAAUUUGGAUAUUUUAUUUUAUUUUUGGCUGCUCGGGUAACUUUAGCCCUUAACCAAGCAUAUGUGGGUUUUUUUGGUUGUUUUUUUGUUUUUGUUUUUUUUCUUUUUCCUUUUUGGGUACAGCUGUAAAAUAUUUGGAUAUAGGAAAUGUUGUGUUAUUCUUGCAGCCUUGAUAUUCAGGGUGGAUUGUAAAAUAUAAAUUUUUGUGAGAUUUCAAAGAUUAAGAUUAUUUUGAUAACAUUAUUUACAGAUUUAAAAGAUGUGGUUAUCACAAGUCUCGAGGGGGAAACUACUGCAUAAAAUAACUAACUUGGAAUAAAUAUUUUGCAUCAGUUUGGAUUGUCUUGUGUAAGAAGUAUAUUUUCUUUAAAAUUAGAUGAGUGGAUUCUUUUUUAGGGGAAAUAUUUUUAGAAGUUGGGGGGAAAUGUGAAUUCAGACACAACUGUUUCUCUAUUUUAGCAGAUACUUUUUUGAUGCAGAAAAACCUGUGCAAUAAAUUACCAGUAAUAAAGUCAGAAACCAA